CAAUAGCGUAUAUUAAAGUUGUUGCAGUUAAAAAGCUCGUAGUUGGAAUAGAAUAAAAGAAAAAUACAAUAUAAAGAGGUCAAAGAACUAAUUUAUAUUGAUAAUUUAUAUCUUUUUAUUCUUAAAUUUAAAGAAAAAGGUUUUUCUAUUUCUUUUCAUUUACUUUGAGAAAAUUAGAGUGUUUAAAACAAAUUAUAUUCUAUAUAAUUAUUGAAUACUUCAGCAUGGGAUAAUAAAAUAAGACAUUUUUAAAUGACCUAUUUAUUGGUAAACAUUAAAACAUUUAAUGAAUGUAAUGAUUAAUAGGAACAGUUGGGGGUAUUAGUAUUUAGCAGUAAGCGGUGAAAUGCUCGGAUUUGCGAAAGACUAACAUAUGCGAAAGCAUUUAUCAAGUAUGUUUUCAUUAA
RNAcentral lists this ribosomal RNA (407 nucleotides) under uncultured eukaryote. Its description in RNAcentral is "partial 18S ribosomal RNA". It matches the Rfam family "Eukaryotic small subunit ribosomal RNA", at positions 592 to 976 of the family's 1831-position model. The record is from RNAcentral.